ACCAACAGGGAUUGCCCUAGUAACGGCGAGUGAAGCGGCAACAGCUCAAAUUUGAAAUCUGGCUCUUUCAGAGUCCGAGUUGUAAUUUGCAGAGGGCGCUUUGGCUUUGGCAGCGGUCCAAGUUCCUUGGAACAGGACGUCACAGAGGGUGAGAAUCCCGUACGUGGUCGCUAGCUAUUGCCGUGUAAAGCCCCUUCGACGAGUCGAGUUGUUUGGGAAUGCAGCUCUAAAUGGGAGGUAAAUUUCUUCUAAAGCUAAAUAUUGGCCAGAGACCGAUAGCGCACAAGUAGAGUGAUCGAAAGAUGAAAAGCACUUUGGAAAGAGAGUCAAACAGCACGUGAAAUUGUUGAAAGGGAAGCGCUUGCAGCCAGACUUGCUUGCAGUUGCUCAUCCGGGCUUUUGCCCGGUGCACUCUUCUGUAGGCAGGCCAGCAUCAGUUUGGGCGGUGGGAUAAAGGUCUCUGUCACGUACCUCUCUUCGGGGAGGCCUUAUAGGGGAGACGACAUACCACCAGCCUAGACUGAGGUCCGCGCAUCUGCUAGGAUGCUGGCGUAAUGGCUGUAAGCGGCCCGUCUUGAAACACGGACCAAGGAGUCUAACAUCUAUGCGAGUGUUUGGGUGUCAAGCCCGAGCGCGUAAUGAAAGUGAACGGAGGUGGGAACCCGCAAGGGUGCACCAUCGACCGAUCCUGAAGUUUACGGAAGGAUUUGAGUAAGAGCAUGGCUGUUGGGACCCGAAAGAUGGUGAACUAUGCUUGAAUAGGGUGAAGCCAGAGGAAACUCUGGUGGAGGCUCGCAGCGGUUCUGACGUGCAAAUCGAUCGUCAAAU
Molecule: ribosomal RNA, 828 nt
Filed under: Bipolaris maydis (southern corn leaf blight pathogen)
Lineage: Eukaryota; Fungi; Ascomycota; Dothideomycetes; Pleosporales; Pleosporaceae
Description: LSU rRNA
Rfam family: Eukaryotic large subunit ribosomal RNA
Source: RNAcentral